CUCAAAUGAAUUGACGGGGGCCCCGCACAAAGCGGUGGAGCAUGUGGUUUAAUUCGAUGCAACGCGAAGAACCUUACCUACUCUCGACAUCCAGAGAACUUAGCAGAGAUGCUUUGGUGCCUUCGGGAACUCUGAGACAGGUGCUGCAUGGCUGUCGUCAGCUCGUGUUGUGAAAUGUUGGGUUAAGUCCCGCAACGAGCGCAACCCUUAUCCUUUGUUGCCAGCGGUCCGGCCGGGAACUCAAAGGAGACUGCCAGUGAUAAACUGGAGGAAGGUGGGGAUGACGUCAAGUCAUCAUGGCCCUUACGAGUAGGGCUUCACACGUGCUACAAUGGCGCAUGCAAAGAGAAGCGAACUCGCGAGAGCAAGCGGACCUCAUAAAGUGCGUCGUAGUCCGGAUUGGAGUCUGCAACUCGACUCCAUGAAGUCGGAAUCGCUAGUAAUCGUAGAUCAGAAUGCUACGGUGAAUACGUUCCCGGGCCUUGUACACACCGCCCGUCACACCAUGGGAGUGGGUUGCAAAAGAAGUAGGUAGCUUAACCUUCGGGAGGGCGCUUACCACUUUGUGAUUCAUGACUGGGGUGAAGUCGUAACAAG
This 597-nucleotide ribosomal RNA is filed under the name uncultured Enterobacter sp. RNAcentral's name for it is "bacterial SSU rRNA". It matches the Rfam family "Bacterial small subunit ribosomal RNA", at positions 900 to 1495 of the family's 1533-position model. The record is from RNAcentral. Lineage: Bacteria; Pseudomonadati; Pseudomonadota; Gammaproteobacteria; Enterobacterales; Enterobacteriaceae.